GUUACUAGUUGUUUGCAUGGUAGAAGAAAUAUGCCUGUUAAAUAGACCUUGGUGCGAGAGAGAGAGUGGCAAAUGGACAUUGAGCAUGUACUUCUGAGGAGUACAAAUAGCUGACCAUAAUUUAUACAUAAAUCAUAACUCCAAUUGUGGAACUAUCGGAUGUUUUAUAAUCACUUGUAGUCACUUAUUGGUUAGGCUCGCAUAGUGCAUGUUGCUUGAAUUGAGGUUCUUUGACCUUAACAUUGGUGAUGACCAAUACACCUUGAUUUUUGCUUGGAAUUUGUGCUUGCAGCCAUUAAUACGAUGCUUGUUUUCAUGUAUCAUCAUGGGAAUAUAAAAUAAGCAUUCUUCUUGUAAUUUACUACGUCAUGUGAAAACACAAACUAGAUCUACUUUCAACUUGUAUUUUGAAUUGGUAUCAUAGGUCUUGGUCUGUCAUCCAAUUUGUCUUUCGAUGGCUCUUCAAACUGUUGACAUAGAUUAGCCUUCAUGUGUUAUAUACUGGUGCGCCUAGAGUCCAAGCACCAUGGUUGGUUAUGUCUGUCCAUGUCUUGCCACAUUAUUGCUGUUCUGUCCAGUUAUAUUAUGCUGUUCUUUUGGUUGCUCACUCUGAGUAUCUGAUGGGUUUUAAACAUUUGAAACGCAGGUCAUUGAUUAUUAUAAG
RNAcentral lists this unclassified non-coding RNA (664 nucleotides) under Hevea brasiliensis (rubber tree). Lineage: Eukaryota; Viridiplantae; Streptophyta; Magnoliopsida; Malpighiales; Euphorbiaceae. The record is from RNAcentral.